UCUCUACCAGGUGCUCUCUAACAUC
This 25-nucleotide non-coding RNA is filed under the name Mus musculus (house mouse). Lineage: Eukaryota; Metazoa; Chordata; Mammalia; Rodentia; Muridae. The record is from RNAcentral.